CAAGGCUGUGCCUCAGCUACUCAGUUAUUCUCCUUAGAAGUAAACAAUCUGUUGUCCCUUUGUUGUCCUGUGUUACAGCUGUGCAUCCUCCUGAUUCAUUCAGUUCCCAAAGUAUAACCACAAGCCUUCACGGAGCACACUUUUACUCAAGGGGACCCAAUCCAGGAUCUCACAUUGCAUCUUGUCAUCGUGUCUCCUUAAAUCUCCUCCAGCCUGUGACAGUUCCUCAGUCUUUCCUUGUCCUCAUGACCUUGAAACUUUUGGAGAGUACUAAAAUUGUGAAGAGUACAGUUCUUUUGUAUAACGUCCCUGAGUUUGGAUCUGCCUGAUAUUUUUCUCAUGAUUAGAUUGAAGGAUCUUAGCUGCCUGACCAGAGACUGAACCUGGGCCCCAGCAGUGAAAGUGCCGAAUCCUAACCACUGGACUGCCAGGGAAUUCCGACACCUGUUUCUUUGUUCUGUUGUUUCUUUCACCUUUAUCACUAGUGGUGAGGUUGUAGUAAGUGCUUAAUAAAUACCUAACACAG
Long non-coding RNA from Physeter macrocephalus (sperm whale), 526 nucleotides. RefSeq lists it as uncharacterized. The transcript has 4 exons. The record is from RefSeq and is a predicted model, not a curated record. NCBI's taxonomy places the organism in Eukaryota, Metazoa, Chordata, Mammalia, Artiodactyla, Physeteridae.